Long non-coding RNA from Acanthochromis polyacanthus (spiny chromis), 1449 nucleotides. RefSeq lists it as uncharacterized. Lineage: Eukaryota; Metazoa; Chordata; Actinopteri; Pomacentridae. The transcript is spliced from 3 exons. The record is from RefSeq and is a predicted model, not a curated record.
CGUAUAUACAUGAAUCAAAUUAAGUUUUAUUCAAAUCAACAUACCUUCCAUAAUAUGGCAGCAGCGUGACUGCAGAACUGCCCCAACCCACGACGCUGAAGUUAGCUUCCGAUUCGGCACUUAAGGGAAAAGUUAAGGGGAAAUGAAAUGAACGUGCGGUGCGACAGUUUAUCCACUGAUUAUCUGUUUUUUUCGACACUUCUUGAUGUGUAAACAUUUUAGACAUUUGGGUAAGACAUUAACUAUGCCUGACAAGAGCUAUUGUAUUUGUAAAAUUUGUAUUUUAUUUGUGAAAACGUUUAAGGGGAUAUUUCACCGUUUUUGCUUUAUAACCAGUCCUUAUUAGACCAGGUCCAGAUUGAAAACCACUGUACCUACACUCCUCACAUCUGUACUCGACUAUUCUACAGAGCCUGAAAAUUCAUAAAAACAUAGUCUCUGAUUUGUGAAAACUUUAUUCUAUUUGUGAAAAUGCAAUAAAGGCACAUUUUACAGUUUUUUUCUCAUCCAGACCACAUUAGACCAGGUCCAGCUCGAGAACCGCUACACUUAGACUCUUCAAAUCUGGACUGAAUUAUUCUACAGAGCCUCUGAAUUCAUAAUAACAUAGUCUCUGAUUUGUGAAAACUUUAUUCUAUUUGUGAAAAUGCAAUAAAUGCACAUUUUACUGUUUUUUCAGCAUAUAGACCACAUUAGACCAGGUCCAGCUUGAGAACCGCUACACUUAGACUCUUCAAAUUUAGACUGAAUUAUUCUACAGAGCCUGUAGAUUCAUAAAAACAUAGUCUCUGAUUUGUGAAAACUUUAUUCUAUUUGUGAAAAUGCAAUAAAUGCACAUUUUACUGUUUUUUCAGCAUAUAGACCACAUUCGACCAGGUCCAAGUCGAGAACCGCUACACUUAGACUCUUCAAAUCUGGACUGAAUUAUUCUACAGAGCCUGUAGAUUCAUAAAAACAUAGUCUCUGAUUUGUGAAAACUUUAUUCUAUUUGUGAAAAUGCAAUAAAUGCACAUUUUACUGUUUUUUCAGCAUAUAGACCACAUUAGACCAGGUCCAGCUUGAGAACCGCUACACUUAGACUCUUCAAAUUUAGACUGAAUUAUUCUACAGAGCCUGUAGAUUCAUAAAAACAUAGUCUCUGAUUUGUGAAAACUUUAUUCUAUUUGUGAAAAUGCAAUAAAGGCACAUUUUACAGUUUUUUUCUCAUCCAGACCACAUUAGACCAGGUCCAGCUCGAGAACCGCUACACUUAGACUCUUCAAAUCUGGACUGAAUUAUUCUACAGAGCCUCUGAAUUCAUAAAAACAUAGUCUCUGAUUUGUGAAAACUUUAUUCUAUUUGUGAAAAUGCAAUAAAUGCACAUUUUACUGUUUUUUCAGCAUAUAGACCACAUUAGACCAGGUCCAGGUCGAGAACCGCUACACGUAGACUCUUCAAAUCUGGACUGAA